RNAcentral lists this ribosomal RNA (372 nucleotides) under uncultured bacterium. RNAcentral's name for it is "bacterial SSU rRNA". It matches the Rfam family "Bacterial small subunit ribosomal RNA", at positions 88 to 463 of the family's 1533-position model. The record is from RNAcentral.
UGAUUCAGCGGCGGACGGGUGAGUAAUGCCUAGGAAUCUGCCUAUUAGUGGGGGACAACGUUUCGAAAGGAACGCUAAUACCGCAUACGUCCUACGGGAGAAAGCAGGGGACCUUCGGGCCUUGCGCUAAUAGAUGAGCCUAGGUCGGAUUAGCUAGUUGGUGAGGUAAAGGCUCACCAAGGCGACGAUCCGUAACUGGUCUGAGAGGAUGAUCAGUCACACUGGAACUGAGACACGGUCCAGACUCCUACGGGAGGCAGCAGUGGGGAAUAUUGGACAAUGGGCGAAAGCCUGAUCCAGCCAUGCCGCGUGUGUGAAGAAGGUCUUCGGAUUGUAAAGCACUUUAAGUUGGGAGGAAGGGCAGUAAGUUAA